AUUGAACGCUGGCGGGCAUGCCUUACACAUGCAAGUCGAACGGCAGCACGGGAGCAAUCCUGGGUGGCGAGUGGCGAACGGGUGAGUAAUAUAUCGGAACGUGCCCAGUCGUGGGGGAUAACGUAGCGAAAGCUACGCUAAUACCGCAUACGAUCUAUGGAUGAAAGCGGGGGAUCGCAAGACCUCGCGCGAUUGGAGCGGCCGAUAUCAGAUUAGGUAGUUGGUGAGGUAAAGGCUCACCAAGCCGACGAUCUGUAGCUGGUCUGAGAGGACGACCAGCCACACUGGGACUGAGACACGGCCCAGACUCCUACGGGAGGCAGCAGUGGGGAAUUUUGGACAAUGGGCGCAAGCCUGAUCCAGCAAUGCCGCGUGCAGGAUGAAGGCCUUCGGGUUGUAAACUGCUUUUGUACGGAACGAAACGGUGAGCUCUAAUACAGUUUGCUAAUGACGGUACCGUAAGAAUAAGCACCGGCUAACUACGUG
This 486-nucleotide ribosomal RNA is filed under the name uncultured bacterium. RNAcentral's name for it is "bacterial SSU rRNA". It matches the Rfam family "Bacterial small subunit ribosomal RNA", at positions 30 to 507 of the family's 1533-position model. The record is from RNAcentral.